RNAcentral lists this non-coding RNA (136 nucleotides) under Paramoeba aestuarina. The record is from RNAcentral. Lineage: Eukaryota; Discosea; Flabellinia; Dactylopodida; Paramoebidae.
AGAAAAAGAAGAGGGAAGAGGAAAGAGAAGGGAGAGAAGGGUUGUUUGGGAACCAAAAGUCUUUUCCACAACAUUCUUCUGUUGCGUCUCUUUCUUCUUCGAGUUACAAGUAUUCUUCUUCUUUUUCUUCUUCUUC